AGCAGCCUACGGGGGGCAGCAGUGGGGGAUAUUGGGCAAUGGGCGCAAGCCUGACCCAGCAACGCCGCGUGAACGAAGAAGGCUUUCGGGUUGUAAACUUCUUUUCUCAGGGACGAAGAAAGUGACGGUACCUGAGGAAUAAGCCACGGCUAACUACGUGCCAGCAGCCGCGGUAAUACGUAGGUGGCAAGCGUUAUCCGGAUUUAUUGGGUGUAACGGGCGUGUAGGCGGGAACGCAAGUCAGAUGU
Molecule: ribosomal RNA, 248 nt
Filed under: uncultured bacterium
Lineage: Bacteria
Description: partial 16S ribosomal RNA
Rfam family: Bacterial small subunit ribosomal RNA
Source: RNAcentral